AAAAAAACAAGCUAAUUGAACACGCAUAUACCCAUAACUCCCCUAACCCUAAAACAUAUCAAAUGAGAGUCGCCCCUCCCCAUCUUCUUCCCUUUCUCUUUUAGAUCAAAACUCCUCUUCUCCCCUGUUCCUCUCUUUCUCUCUCCUCAAAUCCCAAAGCACCGUCCUCAAGCUUCACACGCCCACAAGUCCACCGCCUAUCUCACAAGCUUUUCACACACACCGUUGAGACACAAGCUGACGAGUGUCAACCACCGAGCCACCUUUCAGCCAUGAGUUUCCACCACCAAGCCAUGAGAUGUCGAUUUGAGUAUUUAAUUACUCAAGAUUUUUCAAUUUUUGAUUUGAUUUUAAUUUAGAUAUUAGAGUGAAAUUUUGCUGAACAAUCGCAGGCAUUGACACAACCUGUAUUGAUUUCUUCUCUAAACCCGCAAAGCCGCAAUUGUUGUUUGUAGUAUAAAUAAUUAAUCAGUAGUAUUAGAGAACUUGUAAUGUAUUUUUUUUCCUCAACGAAUUCAGUUGUAAUUGAAAUACAUGUAUUUUAAUUUUUUUGAUAAAUAAAAUGUUAUUGUUAUGGUAUUUUA
Molecule: long non-coding RNA, 584 nt
Organism: Chenopodium quinoa (quinoa)
Lineage: Eukaryota; Viridiplantae; Streptophyta; Magnoliopsida; Caryophyllales; Amaranthaceae
Exons: 2
Source: RefSeq, a predicted model, not a curated record